CGCAUUAUUUUAUCAGAAUGGCAGCUGAUUCUUGGCCUAUCCCACGCAGUGGGUUUGUGCCAUUCUUGAAGAGAUCAUCAUCAUCAACAUGAUCGUCAUCAUAAUCAUCAUCGUGUUGUCUUCUGUCUAUGGCAAGUAGCACGCGGCUGGGCAGCAGCACAAGCAGCUCCUGAUUCCGCCUUGAAAAACACUCUUCGAAGUGCCGGCUCUUCACUUUGGGUGGCAGUGCGGCGGCUGCUUUCCAACUUGAACAAACCGGGAAGAUUUUCAUGUGGCAGGCAUUUUGUGCACGUUGAGGACUAUGGCAAGCAACAAGGCUCGGGAAGAAACCCUGCUGACCUGUCCCUACAACCCUGAUCACAUGGUAAAGCGGAGCCGCUUCCAGAUACAUGUCACCAAGUGCAGAAUGGCUCACCCCGAGAAGAGUUUGAAGCAAUUCCCAUUCUCGGCUGGCCAUAGUGUUCCUGCCACUGAGCUAAUGCGGCACAUAUACACGUGCCCGCUCAACAAUACAGUCGGGCGCUUCCUAAAAGGUAACACACAGUUCUCCAAGUAUUGUCCUCACUUUACCUAUACCUGAUUUCCAGUUUGUUUUUUUAAUGCCCUGCCCGACAUUGAUUCUGGCCGUCUCUUGGCAGAUGAGGCGACUUGACGACUGCCGAGGUCUGCAGCUUCACCGCUGGACUUUCAGUGCAAGUCCAACCUAAUUCAGUUUGCAGCAGUGUGUCUGUCCGUCUCUCUGUCUCUAUCUCUCUCUCUGUCACGUGAACGCCUCAAAGAGAGACUUGGUGGAGCGUGGUAUUUCAAGCACAAGAAAAUGGCUUCCUGCUACGUUCCCUGUGUGCUUCAGUUCGGGGUAUUGAAGUGCUUUGCUUGCUGCGAAACCUGGAGCGGAAAAAGACGUUGGAGGCUCAGCAGAAGCCGGACCACAAGAAGGCGACUGGCACAUAUAAAAUCUGCCAGCAAUGAUGAAAAAGCGAGCUUUUUUUCU
Non-coding RNA from Dermacentor andersoni, 991 nucleotides. NCBI's taxonomy places the organism in Eukaryota, Metazoa, Arthropoda, Arachnida, Ixodida, Ixodidae. The record is from RefSeq and is a predicted model, not a curated record.